UGUGCUCAGGGUCAGCCCUUUGGUACACCUUUCAAUCACCCAGAUGUAAAGCAAUUGCCCACAUACUCAUUUACUUGGCAGUUUCUUUCAACCUGAGAUUUAGCUACUGUAUGUAUCUGAGGAAGGACGUAUCUUAGCUUGAAAUGAAUUGAGCGGCUGCAGUGCUUCUUCUUGCAGGGUGUGGGGGCUGGUCAGAGCAGACCCUGUAAGAGGGAAGCUAAGGAGUAACACCUGAGGCUGCAGGAGGCAAAACAAAUUUCACUCCCAUGGGAAGAAAAGGAGCCAAAAGGAACGGGGUGUCUUAGCCCAGUUCCACGUGGAUGGGGUCUCUGAUGUCCCACCUAGUCCUAAUAUAAUUGUCCUUUUGGCAGGGUGUCAUGGGGCAAAGGACCAGCC
Molecule: long non-coding RNA, 396 nt
Filed under: Homo sapiens (human)
Lineage: Eukaryota; Metazoa; Chordata; Mammalia; Primates; Hominidae
Description: HSALNT0006735
Source: RNAcentral